Molecule: ribosomal RNA, 1265 nt
Filed under: metagenome
Description: bacterial LSU rRNA
Rfam family: Bacterial large subunit ribosomal RNA
Source: RNAcentral
UGCCUGUACCAUAACCGACACAGGUGGGUAAGUAGAGUAUACUAAGGGGCGCGAGAUAACUCUCUCUAAGGAACUCGGCAAAAUAACUCCGUAACUUCGGGAGAAGGAGUGCCUUAUUCUUAAGGUUGCAAUAACAAGAUCCAAGCAACUGUUUAUCAAAAACACAGGUCUCCGCUAAGUCGUAAGACGAUGUAUGGGGGCUGACGCCUGCCCAGUGCCAGAAGGUUAAAGAAGUCGGUUAGCAAUAGCAAAGCUGGUAACUGAAGCCCUGGUGAACGGCGGCCGUAACAAUAACGGUCCUAAGGUAGCGAAAUUCCUUGUCGGGUAAGUUCCGACCCGCACGAAAGGCGUAAUGAUUUGGAUGCUGUCUCGGAGAGGGGCUCGGUGAAAUAGACUUGUCUGUGAAGAUGCGGACUACCUGCACCAGGACAGAAAGACCCUAUGAAGCUUUACUGUAACUUGAAAUUGAAAUUGGACUUUAUUCGCGCAGUAUAGGUGGGAGGCGUUGAUUAUAAUCUUGUGGGAUUAUUGGAGCCAUCAGUGAGAUGCCACUCUUGUAAUGUUAGAUUUCUAACUUUGAAUCAUUAUCUGGUCAAAGGACAGUUUCAGGCGGGCAGUUUGACUGGGGCGGUCGCCUCCUAAACGGUAACGGAGGCGUACAAAGGUUUCCUCUGAACGGUUAGAAAUCGUAUCUAGAGUGUAAAGGCAUAAGGAAGCUUGACUGUGAGACCUACAAGUCGAGCAGGGACGAAAGUCGGUCUUAGUGAUCUGACGGUACUGAGUGGAAAGGCCGUCACUCAACGGAUAAAAGUUACUCUAGGAUAACAGGCUGAUCUCCCCCAAGAGUUCACAUCGACGGGGAGGUUAGGCACCUCGAUGUCGGCUCAUCGCAUCCUGGGGCGGUAGUACGUCCCAAGGGUUGGGCUGUUCGCCCAUGAAAGCGGUACGCGAGCUGGGUUCAGAACGUCGUGAGACAGUUCGGUCCAUAUCCGGUGUAGGCGCUAGAAUAUUGAGAGGAGCCUUCUUUAGUACGAGAGGACCGAGAAGGACAUACCUCUGGUGUACCAGUUAUCGUGCCAACGGUAAACGCUGGGUAGCUAUGUAUGGAGUGGAUAACCGCUGAAAGCAUCUAAGUGGGAAGCCCACCUCAAGAUAAGUAUUCUCAUCACGUAAGUGAGUAAGGUCACGGUAAGACUAACCGUUUGAUAGGCAUUAAGUGUAAGUACAGUAAUGUAUGUGCUGAGAUGUCCUAAUAGACCGAGGAC